AUGGCCGCCGCCGCCGCGGUCGCGGUCGCCACUGGCGCCGACUGGACCGUCGUCCGCCGGCGUGGCGGCCGCCGCCGAGGUGACGUCCCGGUCACCACCUCCCACCUUGACGCCCCGCCGCCACUCCCGUUGACCCCGAUCCCGUGGGCGCCCUCCGACCCGUCCCUCGACCCAGCCCGCGUCUCCCGCCUCCUCGACCGCGCCCGGGCCGCGAUCUCCCGCGUCGAGGCCUCCCGCUUAUACCGCCGCCUCCUCCUCCCCGACUCCCCGCUCUGCCGCCGCCUCGCCUCGCUCGCCCCCGCCCGCCUCUCCCUCCUCGGCGUCGGCAGCUUCGAGUCCUCCCCGGCCGCGCGCCUCCAGCUCGCGCUCGCGGCACUCCUCCGCCGCGACCUCCUCCCGGGCGCCUCCGCCACGGCCGACCUCUUCGACCCCGUCCUCUCCUCCGUCGAGUGCGCCGUCGCCGUCGCCCUCGGCUUCGCCGUCCCGAACCUCGACGACGGGUGCGGCCGCCGCGUGGAGGAGCCCACCCUCUUCUACAUGCCCCACUGCGAGGCGUCGCUCUACGACGCGCUCCUCGUGGCCAACUGGGAGCCCCGCGCUCAGCUCCGCCGAGUCUGCGUGCUCGGCAAUAGCUUCCGGCGGUACGCUGUGCAGGCGGAAGAGAACCGCUCGGGACCCGCCGCCAAGGCCAAUCUUGUUCUCAAGGCAGGGCGGUUCGCGUGGGAGCAGCGGAUCGACGAGGCCGGGGAUGUGGACGACGAGGACUGGUUCGCCCGUGCGUUCAACGAGACGAGCUGGCAUUUCUUCGAGGUGGACCAAGACGUCGACCAGAGGACGGAGAUAAGUUCGCAAGCUUUGUCCUUCGAGAAAUUAUCACUGUAA
RNAcentral lists this ribosomal RNA (882 nucleotides) under Triticum aestivum (bread wheat). Its description in RNAcentral is "partial small subunit ribosomal RNA". The record is from RNAcentral. Lineage: Eukaryota; Viridiplantae; Streptophyta; Magnoliopsida; Poales; Poaceae.